UGCAAUUAAAUAGUGGCUGUAUAAUGGAAUGACUACAUAAAUGGGAGCAUUGCUCUGGCUGAAAGAGACAAAGAUGGCACGUGAGGAUGGAGUAUGCCAAGAGUUCUCUCCUUUUACCUGUACUUCCACAACCGGUUGUGGCUCCACUGGUUCCACUGUCUACAGGAGAGCAGAACGAUGUUAAUCUGAACAUGUGCCAUAUAACUAGACCUUCUACUGUAUGGUCUGCAUGGCAAAGCACGGAUAGAUGAUGAAUGAAGAGAUGCAGACCUCAGCCCAUUCUCCACAAGUCAUGCCAUCAGUCCAGCUAAAUGCAGCACUAUCUAAAGUGUGUUGAUUCCACAUUGAGAAAAACAUAAGCAAUAAAACUCUAUGGAAUGUCACAAUAUGUCACUGGAAGUAUCGGGAUAGAUUUACAUUUACAGGAA
Molecule: long non-coding RNA, 428 nt
Organism: Oncorhynchus tshawytscha (Chinook salmon)
Lineage: Eukaryota; Metazoa; Chordata; Actinopteri; Salmoniformes; Salmonidae
Source: Ensembl